GAUGAACGCUAGCUACAGGCUUAACACAUGCAAGUCGAGGGACCGGCGCACGGGUGAGUAAAACGGAUCCAACCUGCCCUUUACUCGGGGAUAGCCUUUCGAAAGAAAGAUUAAUACCCGAUAUAAAGGAUGGGGAUGCGUUUCAUUAGGUUGUUGGUGAGGUAACGGCCCACCAAGCCUUCGAUGGAUAGGGGUUCUGAGAGGAAGGUCCCCCAGAUUGGAACUGAGACACGGUCCAAGCUCCUACGGGAGGCAGCAGUGAGGAAUAUUGGUGAAUGGGCGCUUGCCUGAACCAGCCAAGUAGCGUGAAGGAUGAAGGCUUAUGGGUCGUAAACUUCUUUUAUAUAAGAAUAUGUAUUAUAUGAAUAAGGAUCGGCUAACUCCGUGCCAGCAGCCGCGGUAAUAC
RNAcentral lists this ribosomal RNA (406 nucleotides) under uncultured bacterium. Its description in RNAcentral is "partial 16S ribosomal RNA". It matches the Rfam family "Bacterial small subunit ribosomal RNA", at positions 28 to 526 of the family's 1533-position model. The record is from RNAcentral.